UGGGGAAUUUUGGACAAUGGGCGAAAGCCUGAUCCAGCAAUGCCGCGUGUGUGAAGAAGGCCUUCGGGUUGUAAAGCACUUUUGUCCGGAAAGAAAUCCUUGGCUCUAAUACAGUCGGGGGAUGACGGUACCGGAAGAAUAAGCACCGGCUAACUACGUGCCAGCAGCCGCGGUAAUACGUAGGGUGCAAGCGUUAAUCGGAAUUACUGGGCGUAAAGCGUGCGCAGGCGGUUUGCUAAGACCGAUGUGAAAUCCCCGGGCUCAACCUGGGAACUGCAUUGGUGACUGGCAGGCUAGAGUAUGGCAGAGGGGGGUAGAAUUCCACGUGUAGCAGUGAAAUGCGUAGAGAUGUGGAGGAAUACCGAUGGCGAAGGCAGCCCCCUGGGCCAAUACUGACGCUCAUGCACGAAAGCGUGGGGGAGCAAACAGGAUUAGAUACCCUGGUAGUCCCACGCCCUAAAACGAUGUCAACUA
RNAcentral lists this ribosomal RNA (474 nucleotides) under uncultured bacterium. Its description in RNAcentral is "partial 16S ribosomal RNA". It matches the Rfam family "Bacterial small subunit ribosomal RNA", at positions 355 to 818 of the family's 1533-position model. The record is from RNAcentral.